Molecule: long non-coding RNA, 827 nt
Organism: Oncorhynchus tshawytscha (Chinook salmon)
Lineage: Eukaryota; Metazoa; Chordata; Actinopteri; Salmoniformes; Salmonidae
Source: Ensembl
CAGAUUUGGUGGCCAGGCUGUCAGCCGGUGAAGAUGUGGAUGCAGAACAGGCGUUGUACCUGGCAGUCAUGGGGCCCAGAGUGACAGCCAGCGAGGGAGAGACUGUCCGUAAUAAAGAGAGACAAAUAGCACGUCCUGGAAGACAGCUUAUCAGUGAGAAGGAAGUGGACCUGCAGAAAGAGAAUGCAGGACCUGAGCCCUAGGACCAUGCCCCAGGACUACCUGACAUGAUGACUCCUUGCUGUCCCCAGUCCACCUGACCGUGCUGCUGCUCCAGUUUCAACUGUUCUGCCUUAUUAUUAUACGACCAUGCUGGUCAUUUAUGAACAUUUGAACAUCUUGGCCAUGUUCUGUUAUAAUCUCCACCCGGCACAGCCAGAAGAGGACUGGCCACCCCACAUAGCCUGGCAUUGCUUGCUGUUUGGGGUUUUAGGCUGGGUUUCUGUACAGCACUUUGAGAUAUCAGCUGUUGUACGAAGGGCUAUAUAAAUACAUUUGAUUUAAUUUGAUUUGAAAUGAAUGAGGAAGUGAAGAAGUUCCACAAGGACGCUGUGUUCCUGGAUUAGAGGUGAGGGAAGAGCACCUCUGUGUUCCAAGUCUCUCCCCGAGUCUCCCCGAGUCUUCCAGAGUCUAUUGGAUCUAAAAACAUUAGUAUAUUCAGCUGCUUUGUUUAACUAAAUUAUGGAAAGCCAGACUGCUUUAUGACUGAGCAAACACCUAUUUUUAAUCCCGAAAAUGUAAUUCAAUAAAAAGCAAUUUAACGAGUCUCUCAUUUUAACCUUGUGUGUGACCCUAAAUCUAUACACACUCUUAAAAAAGUUUGCUGC